RNAcentral lists this ribosomal RNA (254 nucleotides) under uncultured bacterium. Its description in RNAcentral is "partial 16S ribosomal RNA". It matches the Rfam family "Bacterial small subunit ribosomal RNA", at positions 524 to 776 of the family's 1533-position model. The record is from RNAcentral.
CACGUAGGGUGCGAGCGUUGUCCGGAAUUAUUGGGCGUAAAGAGCUCGUAGGCGGUGUGUCGCGUCGGCCGUGAAAACCUGCAGCUUAACUGUGGGCUUGCGGUCGAUACGGGCAUCACUGGAGUUCGGCAGGGGAGACUGGAAUUCCUGGUGUAGCGGUGGAAUGCGCAGAUAUCAGGAGGAACACCGGUGGCGAAGGCGGGUCUCUGGGCCGUAACUGACGCUGAGGAGCGAAAGCGUGGGGAGCGAACAGG